This 1022-nucleotide ribosomal RNA is filed under the name human oral metagenome. RNAcentral's name for it is "bacterial SSU rRNA". It matches the Rfam family "Bacterial small subunit ribosomal RNA". The record is from RNAcentral.
AGAGUUUGAUCCUGGCUCAGGAUGAACGCUAGCUACAGGCUUAACACAUGCAAGUCGAGGGGAAACGACAUUGAAAGCUUGCUUUUGAUGGGCGUCGACCGGCGCACGGGUGCGUAACGCGUAUCGAACCUGCCCUUUACUCAGGGAUAGCCUUGCGAAAGUAAGAUUAAUACCUGAUAGUGUUGUGAUGAGGCAUCUUGUUGCAACUAAAGAUUUAUUGGUAAAGGAUGGCGAUGCGUCUGAUUAGGUAGUAGGCGGGGUAAUGGCCCACCUAGCCUUCGAUCAGUAGGGGUUCUGAGAGGAAGGUCCCCCACAUUGGAACUGAGACACGGUCCAAACUCCUACGGGAGGCAGCAGUGAGGAAUAUUGGUCAAUGUCUUGAGUGCACGCAGGGAUGUUGGAAUUCAUGGUGUAGCGGUGAAAUGCUUAGAUAUCAUGAAGAACUCCGAUCGCGAAGGCAUAUGUCCGGAGUGCAACUGACGCUGAGGCUCGAAAGUGCGGGUAUCGAACAGGAUUAGAUACCCUGGUAGUCCGCACAGUAAACGAUGAAUACUCGCAGUGUGCGAUAUAAUGUAUGCUGCCAAGUGAAAACGUUAAGUAUUCCACCUGGGGAGUACGCCGGCAACGGUGAAACUCAAAGGAAUUGACGGGGGCCCGCACAAGCGGAGGAACAUGUGGUUUAAUUCGAUGAUACAUAACGAGCGCAACCCUUCUCCACGUUUGCCAUCAGUUUAAGCUGGGCACUCCGUGGAUACUGCCAUCGUAAGAUGUGAGGAAGGUGGGGAUGACGUCAAAUCAGCACGGCCCUUACGUCCGGGGCUACACACGUGUUACAAUGGCCGGUACAGAGGGAAGCCACCAGGCGACUGGGCGCUGAUCCAUCAAAACCGGUCUCAGUUCGGACUGGAGUCUGCAACCCGACUCCACGAAGCUGGAUUCGCUAGUAAUCGCGCAUCAGCCAUGGCGCGGUGAAUACGUUCCCGGGCCUUGUACACACCGCCCGUCAAGCCAUGAAAGCCGGG